This is a long non-coding RNA of Vombatus ursinus (common wombat), 1763 nucleotides long. RefSeq lists it as uncharacterized. NCBI's taxonomy places the organism in Eukaryota, Metazoa, Chordata, Mammalia, Diprotodontia, Vombatidae. The transcript is spliced from 3 exons. The record is from RefSeq and is a predicted model, not a curated record.
GUGCUUUUGUGCAGUUGUGCUUCUGUGUCUAUCAGUCCAUAUGUGAGAAUGUGUGUAGUACGGUACAUGAUGUUGGGGAGGAGGCUGUAUAUAGCUAGAUACAGGCUGUUAGAACCAUCGAGGAGUUUUCAGAGCCUACACUGAAUGUUUUGAAUUGCAGAGAGUGAAAGAUCUGGAAAAAAAGGGACGGAAAGUUUUAGGUACCAGCAUCCUUGUGGAGGGCCCCUGAAGUGAGAGGAACAGUCUCCGGUGCUGCAGUGUUUUCGAAGUCAGACUUGCCCAGGAGCUCAAAUUUAAGAAUUUUACACGCCCCGCACCCCCACCUCCGACCUCGUUUCUCCCUGUGGAGAAAAUCUUUUUGGUAGCUUUCUGGUUCGUCUGUAGAAUUCCCGAAGGUCUUCCAGAGGCUCUGAUAGAAGUGAAUAGUGCGGGCUGUGGUGCUGACCACCGCAACGUCUUAAGAGUGAAAAGUGUACUGGGCAAGGUUGACGUAUCUGCCUCCGGUACAUAAAGGCAAGACCUACACCAACUUGCGGGCAUGGUGCUGGCGGAGAGAGGAGGGGGCAGGUACCAGAUGGUAGGAUAGGCAGGCUUCUAGAUAAACUCAGGCAGGGAGUCUAAGGAGGUGGGAAGCACAAAUCCCAUUAAAAUCCCAUUCAGUUACACAUCGUCUGGUGUGUAGAAGAGGGACGAAACACUGAUCCUCAACCCCUCCCUAAUAUCCUUCUCCUGCACUGCUUCUAUGCCAAAUCCAGAUCCACUGCCUUUCCCCCUCGCACCACACACACCAGAUCAUCCCCUGUGUGGAAGGGGAGAAUAGUGGGUUGUCUAAGCUGGGCUGAGGAGUCUGGUGUGGGGAGGGGCAUUUGGACCUGGAAUUUUGGUUAGGAAGGGCAUUGAGCACUGACAUUGAGGGUGUCAGGAGGGAAUCUGUGGUGGGAAUAGCGUGGGAGACUGUGCUGCCCACCUUGCAGAGGAGAGAUAAUACAUGGGAGCUAGUUGUGAGGUGUGAGAUGCUACGGCUGUGGGAAAGGAGGUUUGGACGGUGAGAGGGGAAGGCAUUAGGCACAGACUGAAUAAUGAUGUCAUAGCAGGAGAGUCAGAGGUGUGUGUGUGUGUGUGAAGGGAGAGUGCAUUAAAGAGAGAUGAACUACGGAUUAAGGUGCAGGUGAGUAUGGGCAGAGGUGAUCAGGUGCCUCUACUGAUGAGGUUUCUGCUGCAAGCGGAGGAAGGAGACUGAAAAAGUUGCCCCUCCUACUUUUGGUGAAGCUCGGUUUAUGUCCUAUCUGGGUGUGAGGUAGCUGAGGACCCGAAAUUACAAUAUCAUUGAGGAGAGUCCUUAGGAUGGAUAAAGGGGACUGGAAUGUGUAUAGGAAGGAACAUGAGGAUCUUAUUCACUGGAAGGGCAGAGGGAGGAAAAGAACCUUCAUGUUAUGUUAUAUAAAAUGAAAAAGGGGUACUGCAUUGGGAGAUGGAAGGUCUUCUGGGUUUGAAUACUACCUUUGCUACUCUGUGACCUUAGGUAAAUUAAUGAUUCCCUUCUCUGGCCUCAAUUUCCUCAACAGCAAAAUUAGGAGGUUGGACUAGAUGAUGCUAAAUAAAGGUCCUUUCUGCCUCAGUGAUGCUUUAUUUCAAGACAAGAAGGGUCAUUUGGUUGUUCGAUAACCCCUGAAUUUGAUCUCUGUAGGAAGGAGCACAGGGGUUAUGGGAGAGUGUGAAGGAAGGCUUUGCACAGUGCUAGGCACAUUGUAUUAUUCAGUAUU